Molecule: ribosomal RNA, 872 nt
Filed under: Lacticaseibacillus casei
Lineage: Bacteria; Bacillati; Bacillota; Bacilli; Lactobacillales; Lactobacillaceae
Description: bacterial SSU rRNA
Rfam family: Bacterial small subunit ribosomal RNA
Source: RNAcentral
CGGUGCUUGCACCGAGAUUCAACAUGGAACGAGUGGCGGACGGGUGAGUAACACGUGGGUAACCUGCCCUUAAGUGGGGGAUAACAUUUGGAAACAGAUGCUAAUACCGCAUAGAUCCAAGAACCGCAUGGUUCUUGGCUGAAAGAUGGCGUAAGCUAUCGCUUUUGGAUGGACCCGCGGCGUAUUAGCUAGUUGGUGAGGUAAUGGCUCACCAAGGCGAUGAUACGUAGCCGAACUGAGAGGUUGAUCGGCCACAUUGGGACUGAGACACGGCCCAAACUCCUACGGGAGGCAGCAGUAGGGAAUCUUCCACAAUGGACGCAAGUCUGAUGGAGCAACGCCGCGUGAGUGAAGAAGGCUUUCGGGUCGUAAAACUCUGUUGUUGGAGAAGAAUGGUCGGCAGAGUAACUGUUGUCGGCGUGACGGUAUCCAACCAGAAAGCCACGGCUAACUACGUGCCAGCAGCCGCGGUAAUACGUAGGUGGCAAGCGUUAUCCGGAUUUAUUGGGCGUAAAGCGAGCGCAGGCGGUUUUUUAAGUCUGAUGUGAAAGCCCUCGGCUUAACCGAGGAAGCGCAUCGGAAACUGGGAAACUUGAGUGCAGAAGAGGACAGUGGAACUCCAUGUGUAGCGGUGAAAUGCGUAGAUAUAUGGAAGAACACCAGUGGCGAAGGCGGCUGUCUGGUCUGUAACUGACGCUGAGGCUCGAAAGCAUGGGUAGCGAACAGGAUUAGAUACCCUGGUAGUCCAUGCCGUAAACGAUGAAUGCUAGGUGUUGGAGGGUUUCCGCCCUUCAGUGCCGCAGCUAACGCAUUAAGCAUUCCGCCUGGGGGAGUACGACCGCAAGGUUGAAACUCAAAGGAAUUGACGGGGG